RNAcentral lists this ribosomal RNA (468 nucleotides) under uncultured bacterium. RNAcentral describes it as "partial 16S ribosomal RNA". It matches the Rfam family "Bacterial small subunit ribosomal RNA", at positions 28 to 507 of the family's 1533-position model. The record is from RNAcentral.
GACGAACGCUGGCGGCGUGCUUAACACAUGCAAGUCGAACGGAAAGGCCCUGCUUUUGUGGGGUGCUCGAGUGGCGAACGGGUGAGUAACACGUGAGUAACCUGCCCUUGACUUUGGGAUAACUUCAGGAAACUGGGGCUAAUACCGGAUAGGAGCUCCUGCUGCAUGGUGGGGGUUGGAAAGUUUCGGCGGUUGGGGAUGGACUCGCGGCUUAUCAGCUUGUUGGCGGGGUAGUGGCUUACCAAGGCUUUGACGGGUAGCCGGCCUGAGAGGGUGACCGGCCACAUUGGGACUGAGAUACGGCCCAGACUCCUACGGGAGGCAGCAGUGGGGAAUAUUGCACAAUGGGCGGAAGCCUGAUGCAGCAACGCCGCGCGCGGGAUGACGGCCUUCGGGUUGUAAACCGCUUUCGCCUGUGACGAAGCGUGAGUGACGGUAAUGGGUAAAGAAGCACCGGCUAACUACGUG